ACGGGUGAGUAACACGUGGAUAACCUACCUAUAAGACUGGGAUAACUUCGGGAAACCGGAGCUAAUACCGGAUAAUAUUUUGAACCGCAUGGUUCAAAAGUGAAAGACGGUCUUGCUGUCACUUAUAGAUGGAUCCGCGCUGCAUUAGCUAGUUGGUAAGGUAACGGCUUACCAAGGCAACGAUGCAUAGCCGACCUGAGAGGGUGAUCGGCCACACUGGAACUGAGACACGGUCCAGACUCCUACGGGAGGCAGCAGUAGGGAAUCUUCCGCAAUGGGCGAAAGCCUGACGGAGCAACGCCGCGUGAGUGAUGAAGGUCUUCGGAUCGUAAAACUCUGUUAUUAGGGAAGAACAUAUGUGUAAGUAACUGUGCACAUCUUGACGGUACCUAAUCAGAAAGCCACGGCUAACUACGUGCCAGCAGCCGCGGUAAUACGUAGGUGGCAAGCGUUAUCCGGAAUUAUUGGGCGUAAAGCGCGCGUAGGCGGUUUUUUAAGUCUGAUGUGAAAGCCCACGGCUCAACCGUGGAGGGUCAUUGGAAACUGGAAAACUUGAGUGCAGAAGAGGAAAGUGGAAUUCCAUGUGUAGCGGUGAAAUGCGCAGAGAUAUGGAGGAACACCAGUGGCGAAGGCGACUUUCUGGUCUGUAACUGACGCUGAUGUGCGAAAGCGUGGGGAUCAAACAGGAUUAGAUACCCUGGUAGUCCACGCCGUAAACGAUGAGUGCUAAGUGUUAGGGGGUUUCCGCCCCUUAGUGCUGCAGCUAACGCAUUAA
This 775-nucleotide ribosomal RNA is filed under the name Staphylococcus aureus. RNAcentral describes it as "bacterial SSU rRNA". It matches the Rfam family "Bacterial small subunit ribosomal RNA", at positions 102 to 863 of the family's 1533-position model. Lineage: Bacteria; Bacillati; Bacillota; Bacilli; Caryophanales; Staphylococcaceae. The record is from RNAcentral.